RNAcentral lists this ribosomal RNA (400 nucleotides) under uncultured bacterium. Its description in RNAcentral is "bacterial SSU rRNA". It matches the Rfam family "Bacterial small subunit ribosomal RNA", at positions 355 to 772 of the family's 1533-position model. The record is from RNAcentral.
UGGGGAAUAUUGGACAAUGGGCGCAAGCCUGAUCCAGCAAUGCCGCGUGAGUGAUGAAGGCCUUAGGGUUGUAAAGCUCUUUCGAUAGGGAAGAAAAUGACGGUACCUAUAUAAGAAGCUCCGGCUAACUCCGUGCCAGCAGCCGCGGUAAUACGGAGGGAGCUAGCGUUUUUCGGAUUUACUGGGCGUAAAGAGCGCGUAGGCGGUCAAUUAAGUUGAAAGUGAAAUCCCAAAGCUUAACUUUGGAACUGCUUUCAAAACUGAUUGACUAGAGUGUGAUAGGGGAUGGUGGAAUUCCUAGUGUAGAGGUGAAAUUCUUAGAGAUUAGGAGGAACACCGGAGGCGAAAGCGACCAUCUGGAUCAUUACUGACGCUGAGGUGCGAAAGCGUGGGGAGCAAA